Molecule: ribosomal RNA, 469 nt
Filed under: uncultured bacterium
Lineage: Bacteria
Description: bacterial SSU rRNA
Rfam family: Bacterial small subunit ribosomal RNA
Source: RNAcentral
AACGACGCUGGCGGCGUGGCUAAGACAUGCAAGUCGAACGGACCAUCUAAUUGGGUAACCGAGAGGAUGGUUAGUGGCGAAAGGGUGCGGAAUGGUUAGGUAACGUACCCCGCACUCCGGGAUAGCGUCCUGAAAGGGACGAUAAUACCGGAUGAUAUCACGGGUUGUAAGGCCGGUGAUCAAAGAUUUAUCGGUGCGGGAGCGGCCUAACUCCUAUCAGCUAGUUGGCGGGGUAAUGGCCCACCAAGGCGACGACGGGUAGCGGGACUGAGAGGUUGGCCCGCCACAUCGGGACUGAGACACUGCCCGGACCUCCACGGAGGGCUGCAGUAACGAAUAUUGGGCAAUGGGCGAAAGCCUGACCCAGCGACGCCGCGUGCAGGAUGAAGCCCCUCGGGGUGUAAACUGCUGUCAGAGACUAGAAAGCUUCGGUUGAUCAGUCUCAGAGGAAGUCACGGCUAACUUCGUG